Molecule: long non-coding RNA, 603 nt
Filed under: Mytilus galloprovincialis (Mediterranean mussel)
Lineage: Eukaryota; Metazoa; Mollusca; Bivalvia; Mytilida; Mytilidae
Source: RNAcentral
UUUUUUUUUCAAUAGUAAUUAUUUUCGAAGGGUUAAAUAUUUCGCGGUGGUGUUUUGCCAUGGCUUUGUUUGGACUUUUUUGUUUGCUUUUUGGCCUUGUCUGUUUGUCCCUAAUAUUUUAUUAACUGUGCAUUUGCAUUCAGGUAUCGCAGAUCAAAUUUAUUCGUUCAUAGUGUGUUAAUUUAUGUUUUUUGAUUGAGUUAAGCCUUCCAAUUGAUAUUUUAUCGUGUGGUUUUCUAUGUUGUGAUUUUAUGCUAUUGUUUCAGAAAAAAGGAGAAGGUUUGGUACCAUUAAAACUUUUAAUCCCGCUGCAAAUGUUUGCACCUGUCCUAAGUCAGGAAUCUGAUGUACAGUAGUUGUCGUUUGUUUAUGUAAUUUAUACGUGUUUCUCGUUUCUCGUUUUUUUUUUAUAUAGAUUAGACCGUUGGUUUUCCCGUUUGAAUGGUUUUACACUAGUAAUUUUGGGGCCCUUUAUAGCUUUUUGUUCGGUGUGAGCCAAGGCUCCGUGUUGAAGGCCGUACAUUGACCUAUAAUGGUUUACUUUUAUAAAUUUGUUAUUUGGAUGGAGAGUUGUCUCAUUGGCACUCACACCACAUCUUCCUA